UAUAUCGGAACGUACCCUAGAUGGGGGAUAACGUAGCGAAAGUUACGCUAAUACCGCAUACGAUCUACGGAUGAAAUGGGGGCUCGCAAGACCUCAUGCUCAUGGAGCGGCCGAUAUCUGAUUAGCUAGUUGGUGGGGUAAAGGCCUACCAAGGCGACGAUCAGUAGCUGGUCUGAGAGGACGACCAGCCACACUGGGACUGAGACACGGCCCAG
This 215-nucleotide ribosomal RNA is filed under the name uncultured bacterium. RNAcentral's name for it is "partial 16S ribosomal RNA". It matches the Rfam family "Bacterial small subunit ribosomal RNA", at positions 114 to 334 of the family's 1533-position model. The record is from RNAcentral.